RNAcentral lists this unclassified non-coding RNA (556 nucleotides) under Hevea brasiliensis (rubber tree). The record is from RNAcentral. Lineage: Eukaryota; Viridiplantae; Streptophyta; Magnoliopsida; Malpighiales; Euphorbiaceae.
GCAUACCAUCUGUGCCAACUUGCUCACCCUCUUUUGAAAGCAUCUGGAAAUGGAUCGGUUGUCUUUAUCUCUUCUGUUGCUGGUCUGGUGCACCUGUCCAGUGGUUCUAUUUAUGGAGCAACGAAAGGGGCAAUAAAUCAGCUCACGCGAAAUUUGGCUUGUGAAUGGGCAAAAGAUAACAUUCGGGUUAAUGGUGUUGCCCCGUGGUAUAUAAAGACGUCUUUGGUAGAACAUUUGCUCGAAAAUAAAACAUUUUUGGAUGGAGUAAUAUCUAGAACUCCCCUUAGACGCCCUGGAGAAUCUCAAGAAGUUUCAUCCCUGGUAGCUUAUCUAUGUUUACCUGGGGCAUCUUACAUUACCGGGCAAGUUAUAGCGGUUGAUGGUGGAUUCACAGUCAAUGGAUUUGAAAUGCCAAGUUUCUGAUUUUUAUGGUCCAUGUAGCUUUUACAUGUGCAAACACCCAUCUUUGUUUCUUAGUGAUCACGUUGAGACCGACAUGAAUAAAGCUCUAUUUAAUAUCUUCCUUAGUCCCUGUUUAUCAGAUCAUGAGAAGAGC